UCGGAAACAAUCAUAUAAAUCUCCAUGCGGCUCGGCCUCGCUUUCCGCCGCGGCAGCCCUUCCCAGAGCACCGCCCCCGCUCCAUGAAUCGGCAUGUCGCCGUCACGCACCGCCACGCCAGAUCCGGAGCUGGCCGAGCUCCCGGCGGCCGCUGCGCCGAGUACCCACGCCGGCCGGCCUAGAUCCACUUGCGAUUACAGGUAGCUUUAACGAAGACGAGUACCUACACCAUGCGCCCCAUGCUCCUCCCUCCAUUCUUCUACGCUGAUGCUCCCAAGAGAGCGUGCUGCACUGGAGCCAUUAUAUCACCUCCAAUAUAAACCAGGAGAAGGACAUGCUCACGGGAGAAGGGAAAUCCGGAUCUAUUAUUUUACCCUGUGAAUAAUGAGGCAUCUUGCUUUACUCUCUCUGGAUCACUAUCAUCAAACUGAUCAUCUCCUACUACAAAGGAUAACACAAGGGAAAGCCCUAUAGUAGAUCUCAAAGAGGCAUUCCAAAUGAUCUUUUGCUGCCCCAAGGUGUUCAUAUUUUCUUGAACUGAUCCAAGUCCAAAUAAUGUUUGCGACAAAGUAUGGGAAAGAAUCUAUUGCUGCACAGCAGAGCUUAUGCCAGAUUGUGUGAUCAACUGGCAGGUCAUAUGCCAAGUUCCAUCAAACGUAAUUGAAUCAAUACCCCUAAUUGAAUUGCUUUCUACAUGUCCUACUGCGGUUGAAGUGAAGAUGGAACUGGUUGCAACUCAAGAUUAAGGUGCAUGCAUGUCUUCGUUUCGAGGGACGUGUCUCCACUCGGCGCCCAGCUACCUGAUGCUCCACGGAUUCUCUGAUGCCAUGCGAGACGAUGAAGAUGGAUCAGUUGUCUGACGUACAUAUUCAGAUUUAGAUGUGAAAAAGACACAUACUCUUGUAGUAUUUGCCUGCUUGUAAUGGAAAUUGUACUGACUAUCUGAGACAGAGCAACAUCGGCAAAGACAACACGAGCACCAAAAGUGA
This is a non-coding RNA of Lolium perenne, 989 nucleotides long. The record is from RefSeq and is a predicted model, not a curated record. Lineage: Eukaryota; Viridiplantae; Streptophyta; Magnoliopsida; Poales; Poaceae.